This 299-nucleotide long non-coding RNA is filed under the name Brassica napus (rape). RNAcentral's name for it is "long non-coding RNA (BNAP_LNC017769)". Lineage: Eukaryota; Viridiplantae; Streptophyta; Magnoliopsida; Brassicales; Brassicaceae. The record is from RNAcentral.
UUGGUAAACUCCGUGAGUAUAUUCAUUAGUAAUGAGAGGAAUAUAUAGGAUACAAUAGAAGGGUCUAGAGAGUAUCUAAGUGUAUCACAAAGAUAUUUACAUAUCUAAUCAUAUAUUCUAACACUCCCCCGCAGUCGAAGCGUCAGUUGGAGUAACGGUGAGACUGGUUCUGAACUCGAUGAACAGAGGUGAGUGGAGGCCUUUUGUGAAAAUGUCAGCAAACUGUUGUGAGGAUGGUACGUGUAGAACCCGGACAUGACCAAGGGCAACUUUUUCCCUGACAAAAUGAAUGUCAAUUU